AUAACAUAAAUUAAUGUGCUUUCCUUACGCGAAAGAAAUAUGUCGUUUCAUUUCCUCCU
RNAcentral lists this transfer RNA (59 nucleotides) under Acanthocardia tuberculata (tuberculate cockle). Its description in RNAcentral is "tRNA-Val". The record is from RNAcentral. Lineage: Eukaryota; Metazoa; Mollusca; Bivalvia; Cardiida; Cardiidae.